GUCGAGUCGGCCUGCGCGGAAGAUGUAACGGGGCUAAACCAGGUACCGAAGCUACGGGUGAGUUUCUAUUUCGAUAGGAAUUCGCGGUAGAGGAGCGUCGUGUAAGCCAAUGAAGGUGAAUUGAGAAGUUCGCUGGAGGUAUCACGAGUGCGAAUGCUGACAUGAGUAACGAUAAAGGGCGUGAAAAACGCCCUCGCCGGAAGACCAAGGGUUUCUGUUCGACGCUAAUCGGAGCAGAGUGAGUCGGCCCCUAAGGCGAGGCCGAAA
This 267-nucleotide ribosomal RNA is filed under the name uncultured Vexilliferidae. RNAcentral describes it as "partial Bacterial large subunit ribosomal RNA". It matches the Rfam family "Bacterial large subunit ribosomal RNA", at positions 1148 to 1407 of the family's 2925-position model. Lineage: Eukaryota; Discosea; Flabellinia; Dactylopodida; Vexilliferidae. The record is from RNAcentral.